Molecule: unclassified non-coding RNA, 274 nt
Filed under: Basidiomycota sp.
Lineage: Eukaryota; Fungi; Basidiomycota
Description: partial contains small subunit ribosomal RNA, internal transcribed spacer 1, and 5.8S ribosomal RNA
Rfam family: Eukaryotic small subunit ribosomal RNA (bases 1-47)
Source: RNAcentral
AAAGUCGUAACAAGGUUUCCGUAGGUGAACCUGCGGAAGGAUCAUCAAUGAAUUUUUUGUUGGUUUAUCUUGUCCUUUUUGGGUGAGACGGCCACACAAAAAAAACAAUCUCCGUCAACUUGUUGCAUUUGUAUGAAUGACGUGGGUCGCUUUUGGGGGGAAGCUCUCAAACGGCCCACCUUUUUUACUACACUAGAAAUUUUUCAAAAAUAUCUUGCAUUUAUACAAAGAAACACACAAUAUACAACUUUCAACAAUGGAUCUCUUGGCUCUC